Molecule: ribosomal RNA, 354 nt
Filed under: uncultured bacterium
Lineage: Bacteria
Description: SSU rRNA
Rfam family: Bacterial small subunit ribosomal RNA
Source: RNAcentral
AGAACGAACGCUGGCGGCGUGGAUAAGACAUGCAAGUCGAACGCGACUUAUUUUGUUAGCAAUAACAGAGUAAGUUGAGUGGCGAAAGGGUGCGUAACACGUGGGAAUUUACCAAGAAGUGGGGGAAUAGCUCGACGAAAGUCGAAUUAAUACCGCAUGUGAUCGAAAGAUCAAAGUCGGGGACCGCAAGGCCUGACGCUUUUUGAGAAGCCCGCGGCCCAUCAGCUAGUUGGUGAGGUAAUGGCUCACCAAGGCUAUGACGGGUAGCUGGUCUGAGAGGACGACCAGCCACACUGGAACUGAGACACGGUCCAGACACCUACGGGUGGCAGCAGUCGAGAAUUUUUUCACAAU